GGGGCUGAUCGGUUUCGACGGCGAGCCUGGGAGUCGAACGUGCGACCCGAGUUGCUCAGACUCGUUAAACGGGGCACCCAACAGAGACGCCAACACGGCUGAUCUCGACCUCGCCGCCUGAUCCGUCAGGCAGCAGGUUGAAUAGCGACCAGAGAUGGCACGCGGGGCCGCUCCACCGCAGCCCGGCAACAGAAGCGGGGGAUGACGGCAGCAAAGACUGCUGACGGCGGGAAAGACCGCUGACAUCGGGGAAAGAUCCGGCGGCGGGCGCGAGCCCACCCGACCCGGCGGGGUGGCAGCCGUGAGCCACUAGCGCGGGAAUGGUCGUAGCGCGGACGAUGACCUCUCGGCGGACGAGGGUUCGAUUCCCUCCAGCUCCACCA
Molecule: transfer-messenger RNA, 383 nt
Filed under: Acidimicrobiales
Lineage: Bacteria; Bacillati; Actinomycetota; Acidimicrobiia
Also listed under: 1 other name
Description: WHTX01 sp009377505 Standard tmRNA
Rfam family: transfer-messenger RNA
About the family: Bacterial tmRNA, also known as 10Sa RNA or SsrA, is named for its dual tRNA and mRNA-like properties. Its role is to liberate the mRNA from a stalled ribosome. To accomplish this part of the tmRNA is used as a reading frame that ends in a translation stop signal.
Source: RNAcentral